Long non-coding RNA from Myiozetetes cayanensis, 2114 nucleotides. RefSeq lists it as uncharacterized. The record is from RefSeq and is a predicted model, not a curated record. The transcript is spliced from 3 exons. NCBI's taxonomy places the organism in Eukaryota, Metazoa, Chordata, Aves, Passeriformes, Tyrannidae.
AGGUUGGAGCCAUCAUGUGAUUCACCAUCUGUCACAACAACCAUUACUUUUGUGGCUGCUGGACGUCCUCCUGAUUCAGCUGGAGGAUUCUGCCUACCACUGGGAACCUACUCAGAGGCCCUGAGCAAAUUGUCUACUAGUGGGAAUGAAAUCAGGAUGCUCUCCUUGCUGUUUAAGAUGCUGCAGCAUCCAUCCCUGGACCUCCCAAGGCCACUCUGAUGGUCCUGCUUUCUCCAAGAUUGGGGCUGAUUCCAAGAAGCAAGGACAUCGCCUGUCCCAAGCUCCUUGUGGUUCCUCUGGGCUUCAUCCCAGCUUACAGAAGGAAUGCUCUUUUUCUCUUCCCAGCCUCCCAUUCCUUCUACUCACUGAACCAUUUUACUCAUCCUUCCUAUUUACUACUGAGGGUUGAUUUUAUUCUUUUUAAUCAUUGAAGCAUCAGAACACUUUGAGAGCAAGAAAUGUCCACCUGGAAUAAUGGAAAAGUGUCUGUCAGAUCACAGGUCUCUUCAGAAAUGGCUCUAUUAUGUUCACUUUCUGGACAGGCAGCCAGUCAACAACAGUGAAAACAAAAGAGAAAAAAAGAAAUCAGAACACCCAGUCUCUGAAGAUACACUGUUGUCUGCAAUAUUUUUAUGGAUCAGCUUCACCUCUCAUUCAUGACUUCUUUUCAAAAAUCAUAGCAGAAAUGCUGGCAAAUACUCUGACUCAGCAUGAACAUUUAUCAAGUGAACCAUAGUUUCCGCACAUUUCAAUCACACUGUAAAUUCCACAUUUUUAUAAUCAUCCGCAGUUUUUAUAGAUCUACUCCACACAAACCUUACUUGGUUUGGGCCUAGCAAGUGUACACUGGCACUAAUAUACUAGGCAUUUUCCUGACAUUUUCCUCUAUCUUAUAUAGUGCUUACACUGUUAGAACAUCUUUUAUCCACUUUGUACAACUGUCUAAAUACAGUAUCCAAAAAAAGAAAUUCAAGCAUUUGCAGCAAAAAAAAAAAAAAAAAGGAAGAAAAAAAAGCUGUUUCCUUUAACUCUAUUUUAAGCCUGUGCAGAAUAAGAGGGUCUCUUAUGCAAUAAAAGGGUGCCAAUCAUUGAAGCAUCUAGGUUCAAAGUACUGUAUAUUCUAGCUGGAACGAUUCAGAAUCUGUUGCUGCCUUCAGACAAUGAAUUUUGAUAAUGUAAGAAUCUUGAAAUAAAGAAAACUAAUUCACUAUCUGGAUUUAAAUAGCUUUUGGUGACAGACUACUACUUUGUGACCCAGUGAUCAUGAUGAGAUAUUAGUUGGGCAAGUAAAAACGCAUUUCCUAACUUCUGUCUGUAAAUGGCACUUUAUUUACAGUCAAGUAAACAGACCGUGUGGAACAAAGGAAGCCAAAUACAAACCUAAAGCUUAUGAAAGCCUCCCUAAAGACUUCAAAAGCAACAGUUCUUCUCCAGUUACUGGGAAGGGGGCUUGGGCACUUUGAUUUGCAAAGAGGACACCUUCAUCCAGCCGAGCAGCUCCCAACAUCAAGCUUCAGACAGGAAAAAUAAGAAAAAAGUCCUAAUGGGAUAAAAGAAACUGUAAGCUUUCUAAAAUACUCCAGUAUCUCUUGGCAUAGCACUUUUUCCCUGGGAGUUCCCGUAUUUCAGCAUAUGCAUUAUUGCAGUGUAAGCCAUAGGAGCUGCCAUGUAGGAGUAUUGCUGGUUUUGUACUUCUGCACUGGGAUGUUCUUGCUCCUAACAGGAUGAAAAGUAAUACAUGUUAUGACUGGGCACCUUUAAACCUCAGCAUGUGGGAAUUCUUCUUUAACUAUAAAUGACACAUCUAAUGAUAACUCUAAUGCCUUCUGUUUGCUUUAUUCUGUUUGUAGUACAAGCUGAAGCAAGUUUUAUUGAAGUAAAAGCUCAUAUUAGGUACACCCAGUUCAUAAUUGUUUUGAUUUUGUAAGCAAAGCUCACAGCUUAAAGUGACCAAGCAGAAAACGUAUGUUUGGUAACCAGUUGCUUACUGUCAUCAUUAUAAUAGCUGUCUGACUGAAACCCCUUAUUCAGAUUAACCAGUAUAUAAAAAAAAGAAGAUUUUCAACUGGGUGAGAAAAAAUGAAAUCAGAUUUUUAGGUGUUUGAUUAUGUGGU